Molecule: non-coding RNA, 276 nt
Organism: Sus scrofa (pig)
Lineage: Eukaryota; Metazoa; Chordata; Mammalia; Artiodactyla; Suidae
Rfam family: 7SK RNA
About the family: 7SK was discovered as an abundant small nuclear RNA in the mid-70s but a possible function has only recently been suggested. Two independent studies have found that 7SK RNA binds the CDK9/cyclin T complex (known as elongation factor P-TEFb).
Source: Rfam
GAGUUUGAGUGUGACCUGACUGAGAUAUCAUUCACUUCUUGGGCUGCCAGGGUUGACUGAGCUGAUCUGGCCAGCAAGCUCCCUUACAUCAUUUCUAAAGCUGUGAUUACUCACAGAAGGUGCCCUUUUUCAGAUAAGACUAGGCUUCCGUCAAGGGUUUUAGGAAUAGCUGAACUUCCCACCUAGAGCUUCUGGAAAGGGCUGACUGUCAGAUCUCUUCAUAGGAGACUGUAGGGUAGUCAGACUUCACAUCUGACUUUCAUUUUAUGAAAUGAC